UGUUACUGACCCUGGCCGGCAGGCCACUGCACACGAAACAGAGAGAGCUGUAUCAGCCCUGUUUCAUGUGCAGAGCAACAGAUGUCAUCUAAGAGCUGGAAACGCAUGAACCCCAUCCUGAUUAAUAAGCUCCAGAGGAAACUGGGCUAUACUUUCACUC
Tatumella morbirosei is the source of this 160-nucleotide regulatory RNA element. It matches the Rfam family "rncO". From Rfam's summary of the family: This family represents a bacterial regulatory element (rncO) found in the rnc leader sequence. The rnc operon is negatively auto-regulated by transcript stability. rnc, the first gene in the operon codes for RNase III which cleaves the long rncO stem II leading to transcript degradation and a reduction in translation. Lineage: Bacteria; Pseudomonadati; Pseudomonadota; Gammaproteobacteria; Enterobacterales; Erwiniaceae. The record is from Rfam.